Molecule: long non-coding RNA, 1611 nt
Organism: Xiphophorus hellerii (green swordtail)
Lineage: Eukaryota; Metazoa; Chordata; Actinopteri; Cyprinodontiformes; Poeciliidae
Exons: 2
Source: RefSeq, a predicted model, not a curated record
CAGGGGGAUAAAUGAUUAUUCAAAUGUAAUAAAUCUAAGAGAAAAUGACACCCGAACAUCUGACUUUAUAAUAGAUUAUUUCAACAUACCAAAAUACAAACGAACAAAACAAAAUGAGGGGAUAUUAACACAAUGGACAGCAGCCUUCAAAGAACAAAUGGAAAUGACAACAAAAAAAAAAGACUCUACAGCUUGUUGUUGGAAAUUUGAAAAUUAUUUUCAUAGAAGUGCAAAAAGUGCGAGUGUGGGAGCAAUCUGGCGCGCUGACUGUACAAAAGGAGCGACGUAGCACAGACAAGACAGAGAGACUGGUUCUUCACUUAAUAGCUGCCACAGAGCCUGCUGGAGAAAGCUGGGAGCUUCAUUAAGCCUUUAAACCCUGCAGAGACGUUUUAAGUCAUCACGCCACUGGCUGCUGCAUCCUCAGACAUUCCCAGAGGCAACAAGGCAAAUAUGGAGUUCACAGCUGAGAUUUCAGAACGAUCUGCACAACUGACCAGGCAUUACAAGAGACUCCUCUGUGGGCAGUUCUGAAAGGAUCCCUCAUCGGCCUGCCAAAGAGGACAGCGGCCCUUUGAUCUAGUCGUCCUUCUAUACAUGUGUGUGCAUGAGUGUGUGUAUGAGGGGCAAAGUGUGUUUUCUCAUCUGGCCUCUGCAGAAUUGGUUCACUCGAAGCAUGCCCUGACCUCUUCCAAGUCAAACCGAUCUUUGCAUUGUCCAGACAAUUUGGCAUAAUGCACCAUGGCAACUGUUCCAUUUAACAGGCUCUUUAUAUCUUAGUACUCCAAGCCUAAUCAUGCGGAGUACCUCAUGUGUCACUCAUAUUAGCACCACAACAAAGCAUACUGCCUUUCUAUUAAAUGUAUUUGUGUACCAAUAAAAUUUGCAUUACACUGUUGUUCAGCAACUAGCUAAUUAUGCAUGGUUUGUAUGUUGGACUUCUUGUAUCAAAGGUCGCUCAGAGUGAACGGCCAUGCAGAGAGAGAAAAAAAAAAGGCCUCUGGAGUGACAGGGGACCGGCCUUGCUGUCAGCCGAGGUCAGUCGUAUUUUCCCCUAUCUGUUUUGAACAACCAUUCAAAACAAGCUCAACAUGUGUCUGCACACUAUCACCCUCAUGCAUCCCCGCCUCCAAAAUCCCCUUCCUCCACUUCCUGCUCAGCAGACGUGCCUAACAUUCUAGAGAAGCCAGCGUACAUUCCUCACAUGCUUCAGCUGCAUAAAGAAAUGGUCAAGGAGCCAACAGACAUGUCAUAAGGGCAUCAGUCCUUCUUUCUCAAAGCAGGACAAGCUUGUGUGCCUGAGAGUCCUAGUCAUUGUCCUUUCACAUAUGUGCUUGGGAGUUAGGUCACUUGCAGAAUGAGCAGCCUGGGUUUUGAGUGGUGCUGUCGAGGGUAGGAGAGCUGGAGGCUAUCUCAAGUGACCGCUGUUGAGCUGUCUCACAUGGGAUGUAGAGUUACCUUAAGAGCAUCAAGGCAUCUUUGGCCCACUGCAUCGUUUUAUCUCCCUACACAGGCUCAUGUAUGCUUCAUCUGAGACAUUUUUUUUUAAUGCACAUCCCAGUUAACUUCCAUGAAUUUUUAUACAGCCAAUCAUAUAAUGUCAUCCUAAUU